UUGAACGCUGGCGGCAUGCUUUACCCAUGCAAGUCGAACGGCAGCACGGGCUUCGGCCUGGUGGCGAGUGGCGAACGGGUGAGUAAUAUAUCGGAACGUACCCAGAAGUGGGGGAUAACGUAGCGAAAGUUACGCUAAUACCGCAUACGAUCUAUGGAUGAAAGCAGGGGACCGCAAGGCCUUGUGCUCCUGGAGCGGCCGAUAUCUGAUUAGCUAGUUGGUGAGGUAAAGGCUCACCAAGGCGACGAUCAGUAGCUGGUCUGAGAGGACGACCAGCCACACUGGAACUGAGACACGGUCCAGACUCCUACGGGAGGCAGCAGUGGGGAAUUUUGGACAAUGGGCGCAAGCCUGAUCCAGCAAUGCCGCGUGAGUGAAGAAGGCCUUCGGGUUGUAAAGCUCUUUUGUCAGGGAAGAAACGGUAGAGGCUAAUAUCCUUUGCUAAUGACGGUACCUGAAGAAUAAGCACCGGCUAACUACGUG
Molecule: ribosomal RNA, 483 nt
Filed under: uncultured bacterium
Lineage: Bacteria
Description: partial 16S ribosomal RNA
Rfam family: Bacterial small subunit ribosomal RNA
Source: RNAcentral